Molecule: long non-coding RNA, 1073 nt
Organism: Echinops telfairi (small Madagascar hedgehog)
Lineage: Eukaryota; Metazoa; Chordata; Mammalia; Afrosoricida; Tenrecidae
Exons: 5
Source: RefSeq, a predicted model, not a curated record
AAAAAAGAGACGUACCUAUUGAGCAGACUUCCGGAAGAGGUCAUUCCUCCGCUUCAUUUGGACUUUUUUGGCGCCAGACCUCUUGCUUCAAAACAGCUGCAUAGUUGGAAGUCGGUUCACAAUUUAAGAGGGUUUGAGUGAGGCCGAUGGAGCCUUUACCAUCUGGAGAAAUGUCAAUGUCUGUGUUACAAGAAAGGGAGGAAACCAGAUGCUACGACUGAUCUUCCUCAGACACUAAGCUGAAUCCUGCUUUCCUCCGAUUAAUCGAUGGGGCGGGCAGACGUGCACCUGCCUGUUGCCUAACACCUCGGACAUUCCCAAAGUUGUAUGGAACAGACGACAGCCGGAGUGAGGGGAAUGCUUUUGAAGGAUGAGUGCUGUGUGGAGUUCAGCUCAAAGUGAUGGAAACUCCUGCAGCACCCACUGUGCUGGGAGCCAAGAAAACAAAGCUAACUGAAAAUGGACCAAACCUACAGGGUGUCCCUGCGAGGGGCAACCGGUGAAUGCACUGGGCUGCGAACCAAAAUAGUGGAGGUUUGACACCUUGAAAGAAAGACUUCUGCUUCCCCAAACACAGCCGCUGAGCGCUCUGUGGGACACAGCUCUACACGGACACACACGCCUUCACCUUGAGCAAUGACUGGGGGUUUAUCCUGCUGGAAACCUAGCCCUUGGAGAAGACAGACAUCCAACUGAAACAGGAUGGUAUUGGUGACCGACUCCUGGGAUAAUGUGCUGAAAGUUCACUCCCCUUGCAGUUGGAGGGCAGACACAUGUUCUUUGUGUCUGGGAGGUUUGCAAGGAGGACCCACCCCCUCCCCAGCCUGGGAGAUCAUGAUGGCCUCUUAGUGCCAUGAAGUCUUUGCAAGCAGGACUAUUGCGCCAGCAGAGCUGUCCGAAAGUUAUUGCAUCCCAAACCCAGCGCAACCCCAAACCACUGCCAUCAAGUUGACACUUCUAGGACAGAGUAGAAGUGUCCCUUUGGAUUCCCAAGACUGUCCCAAGGAGCAGACAGUCUCAUCUUUCUUCCAUGGCUGGUGAUUAUGAGCUGCUUCCAAAAAGAACCCGACAAA